RNAcentral lists this ribosomal RNA (1398 nucleotides) under Lactiplantibacillus plantarum. Its description in RNAcentral is "bacterial SSU rRNA". It matches the Rfam family "Bacterial small subunit ribosomal RNA", at positions 72 to 1435 of the family's 1533-position model. Lineage: Bacteria; Bacillati; Bacillota; Bacilli; Lactobacillales; Lactobacillaceae. The record is from RNAcentral.
CUCUGGUAUUGAUUGGUGCUUGCAUCAUGAUUUACAUUUGAGUGAGUGGCGAACUGGUGAGUAACACGUGGGAAACCUGCCCAGAAGCGGGGGAUAACACCUGGAAACAGAUGCUAAUACCGCAUAACAACUUGGACCGCAUGGUCCGAGCUUGAAAGAUGGCUUCGGCUAUCACUUUUGGAUGGUCCCGCGGCGUAUUAGCUAGAUGGUGGGGUAACGGCUCACCAUGGCAAUGAUACGUAGCCGACCUGAGAGGGUAAUCGGCCACAUUGGGACUGAGACACGGCCCAAACUCCUACGGGAGGCAGCAGUAGGGAAUCUUCCACAAUGGACGAAAGUCUGAUGGAGCAACGCCGCGUGAGUGAAGAAGGGUUUCGGCUCGUAAAACUCUGUUGUUAAAGAAGAACAUAUCUGAGAGUAACUGUUCAGGUAUUGACGGUAUUUAACCAGAAAGCCACGGCUAACUACGUGCCAGCAGCCGCGGUAAUACGUAGGUGGCAAGCGUUGUCCGGAUUUAUUGGGCGUAAAGCGAGCGCAGGCGGUUUUUUAAGUCUGAUGUGAAAGCCUUCGGCUCAACCGAAGAAGUGCAUCGGAAACUGGGAAACUUGAGUGCAGAAGAGGACAGUGGAACUCCAUGUGUAGCGGUGAAAUGCGUAGAUAUAUGGAAGAACACCAGUGGCGAAGGCGGCUGUCUGGUCUGUAACUGACGCUGAGGCUCGAAAGUAUGGGUAGCAAACAGGAUUAGAUACCCUGGUAGUCCAUACCGUAAACGAUGAAUGCUAAGUGUUGGAGGGUUUCCGCCCUUCAGUGCUGCAGCUAACGCAUUAAGCAUUCCGCCUGGGGAGUWCGGCCGCAAGGCUGAAACUCAAAGGAAUUGACGGGGGCCCGCACAAGCGGUGGAGCAUGUGGUUUAAUUCGAAGCUACGCGAAGAACCUUACCAGGUCUUGACAUACUAUGCAAAUCUAAGAGAUUAGACGUUCCCUUCGGGGACAUGGAUACAGGUGGUGCAUGGUUGUCGUCAGCUCGUGUCGUGAGAUGUUGGGUUAAGUCCCGCAACGAGCGCAACCCUUAUUAUCAGUUGCCAGCAUUAAGUUGGGCACUCUGGUGAGACUGCCGGUGACAAACCGGAGGAAGGUGGGGAUGACGUCAAAUCAUCAUGCCCCUUAUGACCUGGGCUACACACGUGCUACAAUGGAUGGUACAACGAGUUGCGAACUCGCGAGAGUAAGCUAAUCUCUUAAAGCCAUUCUCAGUUCGGAUUGUAGGCUGCAACUCGCCUACAUGAAGUCGGAAUCGCUAGUAAUCGCGGAUCAGCAUGCCGCGGUGAAUACGUUCCCGGGCCUUGUACACACCGCCCGUCACACCAUGAGAGUUUGUAACACCCAAAGUCGGUGGGC